GCCUCCUCUCCUCCCCACUCCCUCCUCUCCCAGGCCGCCGCCCUCGACACGCCGCCAGGGUGCCAUCGACACGUCAGGGAUAGGCAGUGGUGGAGCGCAGCCCGAGCCCAGCAGCAGUCCACUCCUAACCCCAAGCAAGAGCGAGCAGCGGAUUGGAUCAAGGGAGCCCUCGCGGCCACGCCACUGGCGCCUGGAUUUGCUAGCCGUCGCCUGGAUCCGCCCUAGCCGCCGCCUCGAGUCACCUCCAUCGUUGAUGUGGGUCAACCCCACCGCUGCCGCCAGGAAUCCCAUCCCGGCAAGGUAACUUCCUCCAAAUCUCUUCUCUCCCUGUUCCUCCUGCCCUGCUCGCUGCGUGUGUGUUCUGUGUGUGCCGCGGGUCGUGCCUCGCAUGCCUCGUAUGCAGUUCGUGCGAGAAAGCAACCUUACAGCCCUCCCUCCUCCUUUCCAUCCACUCUCGUCAUGCCUCCUCCCCUUUCUCCCCAGCCGGCGGUGCCUCCUCCCCGUGCGCCCACGGUCUCCCAUGCGCUCAACCCGGCCAACCUCAGUCCCCUCACCCUCUGGUCGCCGUCCUCCCGCGCCCUCACCCGCUGGUGGCCCUCCCAUGCAUCUCGGGCUUGAUGGCUGCUUCCCCACCUCGCCCCUUCAGCUCCGCCAUCGCCUCCCUCCCUUGCUGAUAUCCAUCUUAUCUCUUUUUGCAGGGGGCUUGUCCUUCGGUGGUGGUCAUCCGCCGUUUGAGAUUGGAGGGAGACUAGGAGACCCUGGCGGAAGCGAGCCUGCUAGCGGAGGCUCCAGGGAUGCUAGGUGAUAGGGCCCAGUCCAUGGACCGGUUGUGCUGCUGGGUGAGCUUAUUCACCCUUCUUGUCAACGAGUUGUUCAUAUCUAGCGAGGUUCCUGCAAUUUUUUGUUUAUUUUAGUUGGCCGGAUGCUCAGAUUUAGCUAGGCUUUCAUAUAGGAUUUUUUUACCUUUUAAGUUUGUUGGGUACCUCGGAUAAGUUUCUGCAAAGGGGAUUUUUGUUUGUUCCUGCUCAGGAGAUGCUCUCUAACCUAGCUAGAUUCAUAAAAAAAUUGUUUCCUUUUUUAGCUUGUUUGGUAGCUUGCUCUUUCCUCCUCAAGAAGGGGAUCAAUUUGCCAUGGACCUCCUUUCCCCACUAUAAAGGAGGCUUUUGUUCCUUUGCUUGAUGUGUUUCCCUCUUUUUGAUUGUAGGAUUUUCAGGAUGAGCCUUCCUAUCCAAAAUUAUCGGAUAAAUUCAACAUAUCUGUGGAAAUCUAGGUAUGAGAUGGUUUUUUUCUAUCUUGUGUUCUUACAUAAUUUAAUAGCAAAAUUACUGAAUCAUAGAAGUUGUUAGUAAUUUUGCCUUUAUACUGCAUAUUAAUUCAUUCUUUUGGGUAGGUAACUAAACUCCUUUAAUUUUACUGAAUCAUUGAAGUUGUCUUUGCUAACCUGAGUUUUGCUUUGCAACAAUUUGAUUGCUUGUGUAUUUGUGUAGUUUUCUGCAGAUUCAGACGACUCUGAAUGUUGUUCCAUAACUGAUGACUCAAAAUGAUUAUACACUGAAACCGAAGCCUUUGGAAAAUGAAACAGAAACCUUACUUGAGAGCAGGUAGAGGCGUGGAGCCAAUGGUAUGCACUUGGAUCAAUAUUCUACAGUUAAACAACAUUCAUAUGUUCUAGCAUCUAUAGAUUUACAUUUUCCUUUUAACAGUCUUACAUGUAAAAACUGCAUCCAUUUUGGUAUGUGAUACUGCAAGUGUAAAUUAAGAAAGUAGCCUUUACGGUCUAGCUUCAGUAUCUGUAAAUCAUGAUUACGUACAUACUACAUAAAAAAAUAGAGCAUCCUUAUGCUACCAAAUUAUUUGCUUGAUCUGGCUUGUUGGUUUCUGAAUACUCAAUUUUGUUCUUCUAUUUUAUAGGUGAUGUUGUUGUUGCCUGCUCUUCUAAACUACUGCUUGUUCAUCGUUUGCUGUUUUGCGUAUCAAGGUUUGUGCUUCCUCUUUAAGCUAUAUUUUCUUUUGAUUAUUGUUUUUCUGCAGUUUUCUUCUCUGUGGCAACGUAUUUGGAUCAUGUUUCUCUCUGAAGCAUAUUGGUUGUCUGGCCUUAUCUUUGUACUAGCAGGAAGGUAACUACUCAAAGCAGUUGGCAAGGCAAGCAUUCGAUGGAGCUCAAGCGUUGAU
RNAcentral lists this long non-coding RNA (2172 nucleotides) under Triticum aestivum (bread wheat). RNAcentral's name for it is "long non-coding RNA (TAES_LNC008251)". Lineage: Eukaryota; Viridiplantae; Streptophyta; Magnoliopsida; Poales; Poaceae. The record is from RNAcentral.